RNAcentral lists this ribosomal RNA (150 nucleotides) under uncultured bacterium. RNAcentral describes it as "partial 16S ribosomal RNA". It matches the Rfam family "Bacterial small subunit ribosomal RNA", at positions 355 to 504 of the family's 1533-position model. The record is from RNAcentral.
UGGGGAAUAUUGGACAAUGGGCGCAAGCCUGAUCCAGCCAUGCCGCGUGAGUGAUGAAGGCCUUAGGGUUGUAAAGCUCUUUCAGUGGGGAGACUGGGCUAAUACCCUGGGCGGAAGAUGUUACCCACAGAAGAAGCACCGGCUAACUCU